Molecule: non-coding RNA, 187 nt
Organism: Capsicum annuum
Lineage: Eukaryota; Viridiplantae; Streptophyta; Magnoliopsida; Solanales; Solanaceae
Source: Rfam
AAUAAUCAAAUACGGUGGUCGGGAUAAGGAUCAAGUUAGUAAUUUUUCUUACAUCUCUCCCUUCCGAAGCCCAGAUAUCAUAUAUGCCGCCAAAACAAAAGGCCUUGAAUACUAGAAUAAAAGCAUCUAUACCUAACAAGAUUAAAUGAAUACCUAAAAUUGUGGUCAUUUUAUUUUGAUCUUUUUA